This 1033-nucleotide ribosomal RNA is filed under the name Alexandrium catenella. Its description in RNAcentral is "partial large subunit ribosomal RNA". It matches the Rfam family "Eukaryotic large subunit ribosomal RNA", at positions 200 to 1190 of the family's 3401-position model. Lineage: Eukaryota; Dinophyceae; Gonyaulacales; Pyrocystaceae. The record is from RNAcentral.
GCGUCAAUGAGGGUGAGAAUCCUGUUUGUCAUGUGCAGCCCUUUGUGCACGGUGUAUAUUUGCUGAGUCACACUCCUUGGCAUUGGAAUGCAAAGUGGGUGGUAAGUUUCAUGUAAAGGUAAACAUGCAAUUGAGACUGAUAGCACACAAGUACCAUGAGGGAAAUAUGAAAAGGACUUUGAAAAGAGAAUUAAAUGAGUUUGUAUUUGCUGAACACAAAGUAAACAGACUUGAUUUGCUUGGUGGGAGUGUUGCACUUGCUUGACAAGAGCUUUGGGCUGUGGGUGUAAUGAUUCUUUCUUUGCAUGCCAGUUUCUAUUUGUACAUCUGAUUACCUUUGCACAUGAAUGAUAAGUCUCCUGUGGGGGGUGGAUUGCAUGUGCAUGUAAUGAUUUGUGUUUUGAUAAAUGUGUCUGGUGUAUGUGUGUGUUCCUGUGCUUGGGGAUGCUUCCUUCCUUGGACUUACAAGCCCUGACACACACAUGCUGGCAAAAUGCUUCUGCUUGACCCGUCUUGAAACACGGACCAAGGAGUCUAACAGAUGUGCAAAGUUUGAAGGUGGUAUACCUUUGUGUGCAAUGAAAGUGUCAGCUGGGAUAUGUGCACCAGCACCCAAUUAAUUAGCGGACAGAGGUUUGAGUUGGAGCAUAUCUAUUAGGACCCGAAAGAUGGUGAACUAUGCCUGAACAGAAUGAAUUCAGAGGAAACUCUGAUGGAGGUUCGUAUCGAUACUGACGUGCAAAUCGUUCGUCAUAUUUGGGUAUAGGGGCGAAAGACUAAUCGAACCAUCUAGUAGCUGGUUCCCUCCGAAGUUUCCCUCAGGAUAGCUGGAGUUGCUCAGUUUUAUCAGGUAAAGCGAAUGAUUAGAGGAAUUGGGGACAGGUUUGUCUUUGACCUAUUCUCAAACUUUAAAUGGGUAAUAUGUAGUGGUUGCUGUAUGGAACUUCUAAGAUAAAUGGCAAUAUUGGGUGGGCCAUUUUUGGUAAGCAGAACUGGCGAUGAGGGAUGAACCUAAUGUGGGGCUAAGGGGCUU